UACAGAGGGGGCUAGCGUUGUUCGGAAUUACUGGGCGUAAAGGGCGCGUAGGCGGCCCUCUAAGUCGAACGUGAAAUCCCUGGGCUCAACCCAGGAACUGCGUCCGAGACUGGGGGGCUAGAAUCCGGGAGAGGGAUGUGGAAUUCCAGGUGUAGCGGUGAAAUGCGUAGAUAUCUGGAGGAACAUCGGUGGCGAAGGCGGCAUCCUGGACCGGUAUUGACGCUGAGGCGCGAAAGCCAGGGGAGCAAACGGG
RNAcentral lists this ribosomal RNA (253 nucleotides) under uncultured bacterium. RNAcentral's name for it is "partial 16S ribosomal RNA". It matches the Rfam family "Bacterial small subunit ribosomal RNA", at positions 524 to 776 of the family's 1533-position model. The record is from RNAcentral.